AGAGUUUGAUCAUGGCUCAGGACGAACGCUGGCGGCGUGCCUAACACAUGCAAGUCGAACGGACGAGGCCCCUUCGGGGACCGAGUUAGUGGCGGACGGGUGAGUAACGCGUGAGCAACCUGCCUUUCAGAGGGGGACAACAGUUGGAAACGACUGCUAAUACCGCAUGAUGCAGCGAGAUCGCAUGGUCUUGCUGUCAAAGAUUUAUCGCUGAAAGAUGGGCUCGCGUCUGAUUAGCUAGUUGGAGGGGUAACGGCCCACCAAGGCGACGAUCAGUAGCCGGACUGAGAGGUUGAACGGCCACAUUGGGACUGAGAUACGGCCCAGACUCCUACGGGAGGCAGCAGUGGGGAAUAUUGGGCAAUGGGGGAAACCCUGACCCAGCAACGCCGCGUGAAGGAAGAAGGCUUUCGGGUUGUAAACUUCUUUUACCAGGGACGAAGAACGUGACGGUACCUGGAGAAAAAGCCACGGCUAACUACGUGCCAGCAGCCGCGGUAAUACGUAGGUGGCAAGCGUUGUCCGGAUUUACUGGGUGUAAAGGGCGUGUAGGCGGAGCUGCAAGUCAGAUGUGAAAUCUGGGGGCUUAACCCUCAAACUGCAUUUGAAACUGUAGCCCUUGAGUAUCGGAGAGGCAGGCGGAAUUCCUAGUGUAGCGGUGAAAUGCGUAGAUAUUAGGAAGAACACCAGUGGCGAAGGCGGCCUGCUGGACGACAACUGACGCUGGGGCGCGAAAGCGUGGGAAGCAAACAGGAUUAGAUACCCUGGUAGUCCACGCUGUAAACGAUGAAUACUAGGUGUGGGGGGACUGACCCCCUCCGUGCCGGAGUUAACACAAUAAGUAUUCCACCUGGGGAGUACGACCGCAAGGUUGAAACUCAAAGGAAUUGACGGGGGCCCGCACAAGCAGUGGAUUAUGUGGUUUAAUUCGACGCAACGCGGAGAACCUUACCGGGAUUUGACAUCCUACUAACGAAGCAGAGAUGCAUUAGGUGCCCUUCGGGGAAAGUAGAGACAGGUGGUGCAUGGUUGUCGUCAGCUCGUGUCGUGAGAUGUUGGGUUAAGUCCCGCAACGAGCGCAACCCCUAUCGUUAGUUGCUACGCAAGAGCACUCUAGCGAGACUGCCGUUGACAAAACGGAGGAAGGCGGGGACGACGUCAAAUCAUCAUGCCCCUUAUGUCCCGGGCUACACACGUAAUACAAUGGCGGUCAACAAAGGGAAGCAAAGCCGCGAGGCAGAGCAAACCCCCAAAAGCCGUCUCAGUUCGGAUUGCAGGCUGCAACUCGCCUGCAUGAAGCUGGAAUUGCUAGUAAUCGUGGAUCAGAAUGCCACGGUGAAUACGUUCCCGGGCCUUGUACACACCGCCCGUCACACCAUGAGAGUCGGGAACACCCGAAGUCCGUAGUCUAACCCGCAAGGGAGGGCGCGGCCGAAGGUGGGUCUGAUAAUUGGGGUGAAGUCGUAACAAGGUA
Molecule: ribosomal RNA, 1474 nt
Filed under: metagenome
Description: bacterial SSU rRNA
Rfam family: Bacterial small subunit ribosomal RNA
Source: RNAcentral